This 256-nucleotide long non-coding RNA is filed under the name Ananas comosus (pineapple). RNAcentral describes it as "long non-coding RNA (ACOM_LNC027174)". The record is from RNAcentral. Lineage: Eukaryota; Viridiplantae; Streptophyta; Magnoliopsida; Poales; Bromeliaceae.
GUAAUUAAAAAUAUUUGCAAUUAGAAAUGCAACAAUUAUAACUAGAUAUGCUUAUUUGGUUGGACGCAGUAUAUAAUUUAUUUAGUAGACGGUAGUUGAUAUAUAUAUAUUUAUAAAAUUUUAUUAUUUUAUAUAUUAGAUGGUGAUACUACCUGCAAUAUUAAAAAAAUAAAUUUUCAUAAAAACAUCAAAUCAAAUAUUGAAUUUGGAUCUGCAUAUACUUAUAUUUACAGUGUAGUUACAACUAUACGCAACU